CCCUAGUCCCUUCCUACCCAAACCAAACAACCUAAAUUCCCAUGUAACGGACUAGGAGCUAAUUAAAGGAGGUACAGCUCCUUCAACAAAGAACACAACCUCCACUAGCGGAUAAGACCCCCCCCCACACCAUCCGUAGGCCCUAAAGCAGCCACCACCAAAGAAUGCGUCAAAGCUCCCAAACCAAAAAAAUCCAAAAACAACACGAAUCCCUAUACCCCUAACAGGCCAAUCUAUAACAAUAGAUGAACAAAUGCUAGAACGAGUAACCAGGAUAUCACAUCCCCUUAAGCGCUAGCCCGCAUACCACUAACAGCACAACCACAAUGCCACCCUCAAGACCAAACAUUGCACACACCCUGUCAACCCAACCCAGGAGCGCACACUAGGACGAUUAAACUCUGCAGAAGGAACUCGGCAAGCCCAGGGCCCGACUGUUUACCAAAAACAUAGCCUUCAGCCAAACAAGUAUUGAAGGUGAUGCCUGCCCAGUGACAUUACGUUCAACGGCCGCGGUAUCCUAACCGUGCAAAGGUAGCGCAAUCAAUUGUCCCAUAAAUCGAGACUUGUAUGAACGGCCAAACGAGGCCCUAACUGUCUCCUGCAGACAAUCAGUGAAACUGAUCUCCCUGUACAAAAGCAGGGAUAAACACAUAAGACAAGAAGACCCUGUGGAACUUAAAAAUCAAUAGCCACUACACACUCACCCCAAAACCCACCAGGCUUACCACUUAAAAUGUUGGCUAACAUUUUUAGGUUGGGGCGACCAUGGAGAAAAACAAAUCCUCCAAAAACAAGGCCAAACCCCUUAACCAAGAGCAACCCCUCAACGUACUAACAGUACCCAGACCCAAUAAAAUUGACCAAUGGACCAAGCUACCCCAGGGAUAACAGCGCAAUCUCCCCCAAGAGCCCAUAUCGACGAGGAGGUUUACGACCUCGAUGUUGGAUCAGGACAUCCUAGUGGUGCAACCGCUACUAAGGGUUCGUUUGUUCAACGAUUAACAGUCCUACGUGAUCUG
Molecule: ribosomal RNA, 1022 nt
Filed under: Psittacula cyanocephala (Plum-headed parakeet)
Lineage: Eukaryota; Metazoa; Chordata; Aves; Psittaciformes; Psittacidae
Description: partial 16S ribosomal RNA
Rfam family: Bacterial large subunit ribosomal RNA
Source: RNAcentral